Molecule: ribosomal RNA, 292 nt
Filed under: Listeria innocua
Lineage: Bacteria; Bacillati; Bacillota; Bacilli; Caryophanales; Listeriaceae
Description: partial 16S ribosomal RNA
Rfam family: Bacterial small subunit ribosomal RNA
Source: RNAcentral
UUUAAAGAGAGUUUGAUCCUGGCUCAGGACGAACGCUGGCGGCGUGCCUAAUACAUGCAAGUCGAACGAACGGAGGAAGAGCUUGCUCUUCCAAAGUUAGUGGCGGACGGGUGAGUAACACGUGGGCAACCUGCCUGUAAGUUGGGGAUAACUCCGGGAAACCGGGGCUAAUACCGAAUGAUAGAGUGUGGCGCAUGCCACGCUCUUGAAAGAUGGUUUCGGCUAUCGCUUACAGAUGGGCCCGCGGUGCAUUAGCUAGUUGGUAGGGUAAUGGCCUACCAAGGCAACGAUG